Dipodomys ordii (Ord's kangaroo rat) is the source of this 318-nucleotide long non-coding RNA. RefSeq lists it as uncharacterized. Lineage: Eukaryota; Metazoa; Chordata; Mammalia; Rodentia; Heteromyidae. The record is from RefSeq and is a predicted model, not a curated record. The transcript is spliced from 4 exons.
CAGGCCGACUGCGGCGCUCAGGACGAGGCCGGCCCAGAAUCCUGCCCAUGCCCUCUGCUCCCGGACGCGGCCCAGGAGAUCCAAGUUCGGCGGCGGCGCCUGGAGCGGUCGGGGGCCGCGGGAGGCCCGUGGAGCAGCUGGAGCGGCCCGGUGUGCGUGCCCCGCGGCGACCUGCGGGCCCCCGACGUGAGCUUUGUGGAGGAGCCGCUGGGCCUCGAUGGGACGCGCUUGGUGUCAGUGCGGGAGCAGCCGCCUGAGCCCGAGCAGCCCGAGGGCUGCCGGGACGCCGCUUCGGGCGCGCGGGUCUCGCACUGGGUG